GGGUAGUGAGCUUAUAAGGACAAGCAGGUGGCUGUUAACCAUCAGAUAGAAGGUUCGAAUCCUUCACUAUCCGCCA
This 76-nucleotide transfer RNA is filed under the name Aureispira sp. Its description in RNAcentral is "tRNA-Asn". It matches the Rfam family "tRNA". Rfam says of the family: Transfer RNA (tRNA) molecules are approximately 80 nucleotides in length. Lineage: Bacteria; Pseudomonadati; Bacteroidota; Saprospiria; Saprospirales; Saprospiraceae. RNAcentral also lists the same sequence under 1 other name. The record is from RNAcentral.